Molecule: ribosomal RNA, 253 nt
Filed under: uncultured bacterium
Lineage: Bacteria
Description: partial 16S ribosomal RNA
Rfam family: Bacterial small subunit ribosomal RNA
Source: RNAcentral
UACGUAGGCAGCGAGCGUUGUUCGGAGUUACUGGGCGUAAAGGGUGCGUAGGCGGUUGUUUAAGUUUGGUGUGAAAUCUCCCGGCUCAACUGGGAGGGUGCGCCGAAUACUGAAUGACUAGAGUGCGGGAGAGGAUAGUGGAAUUCCUGGUGUAGCGGUGAAAUGCGCAGAUAUCAGGAAGAACACCCGUGGCUAAGGCGGCUCUCUAGUACGUGACUGACGCUGAGACGCGAAAGCGUGGGGAGCGAACGGG